GACGAACGCUGGCGGCGUGCCUAAUACAUGCAAGUCGAACGAGAGCAACCGGUGCUUGCACUGGUCAAUCUAGUGGCGAACGGGUGAGUAACACGUGGGUAACCUGCCCAUCAGAGGGGGAUAACAUCCGGAAACGGAUGCUAAAACCGCAUAGGUCUUCGAACCGCAUGGUUUGAAGAGGAAAAGAGGCGCAAGCUUCUGCUGAUGGAUGGACCCGCGGUGCAUUAGCUAGUUGGUGAGGUAACGGCUCACCAAGGCCGUGAUGCAUAGCCGACCUGAGAGGGUGAUCGGCCACAUUGGGACUGAGACACGGCCCAAACUCCUACGGGAGGCAGCAGUAGGGAAUCUUCCGCAAUGGACGCAAGUCUGACGGAGCAACGCCGCGUGAGUGAAGAAGGUUUUCGGAUCGUAAACUCUGUUGUUAGAGAAGAACAAGUGCUAGAGUAACUGUUAGCGCCUUGACGGUAUCUAACCAGAAAGCCACGGCUAACUACGUG
This 497-nucleotide ribosomal RNA is filed under the name uncultured bacterium. RNAcentral describes it as "partial 16S ribosomal RNA". It matches the Rfam family "Bacterial small subunit ribosomal RNA", at positions 28 to 507 of the family's 1533-position model. The record is from RNAcentral.